Long non-coding RNA from Pan troglodytes (chimpanzee), 294 nucleotides. RefSeq lists it as uncharacterized. The transcript has 3 exons. The record is from RefSeq and is a predicted model, not a curated record. NCBI's taxonomy places the organism in Eukaryota, Metazoa, Chordata, Mammalia, Primates, Hominidae.
GCCACUGUUGACCUUUGUGGGAGCUGUCAGAAAGUUAUUUGAAGUAGAUCAAGAAGAGAAUGGGAAAUAAAAAAUAGAGACAUCAGACUUGAGCCUCCAGAACUCUGAGACAAUGACUUUCAGUUGUUUAAGCCACCCAGUCUGUGGUACUUUGUUCUGGCAGCCCUAGAAAACUGAUACAAGAUCAUAGGAAAAAGAUGAACAUACGAAGGACAGUUGAUGGUGUACGUUCCUCAGAAGGUGAGAAAGGAAGCUAUUUUCUUGUCUGGAAGAACAUUUCAGAAAAGGAGAAAG